Molecule: long non-coding RNA, 3885 nt
Organism: Biomphalaria glabrata
Lineage: Eukaryota; Metazoa; Mollusca; Gastropoda; Planorbidae
Exons: 3
Source: RefSeq, a predicted model, not a curated record
UUCACCGAGGCGUCCUUGGUUGCGUGGUAAAUUGACUUCCGGUAGAAUUUGUUACUAUAUAAAGAAACUAUUCCCGAAGAUUUUUACCAUCAAAUCAUAAAUGGAAACUUAAUUGUCAUAUACGAUGUUACAGAGGUAAGUGUGCACAAAUCAAUUUGUGACUUAGAUCUAUGACUAUAAAGCUUUGUAACUGAUUUUCUUAGCCAAUAUAGAUAAUUAGCCAAGCCUGUAUUUCGUGUAUUCUUGUUUACGACAUUAAUUGUCUGCUAAUUGGUGCUGCCAGUUUGGAUUAUUUGUUUUUCUUUUUUUUUUCAUCACAUUUGAUAAUUAUUAUCAUUAUUUUUACAAUGUAUAUUUUAAAUGUGAUAAGCGAUUUACUGAAAGAGUCAAUACAUUUCUGAGAGUGUCAUUGAUUAAUUUUUUAUAUAAUGGGUGAUAUAGGCCUAAGUUAAGUCUGUGAAUGAGUCAGUCUAAAUAAAAUAACAACAUAGUGAGUCAAUAAGCCUACAAUCUUACAUCUUUACCAACUUUUGUUCAGAUCUACAAAUAUUUUUUUUAUUCAAUUUGAUUUUAAUUUCAAGAUAAUGUGCAUUUUUAUCUAUAGUAAUGGAAAAUCAACCAUAAAAAAAAAUCAACGAUGUAUGUAUGACUAACUGAAAAAUCUGCAUAAAAAUUUCGGCCUUCAAGUUUUUAGUGUUUUUUUUUUUAACUAACUAGAAUCCCAAAUAACAUCCAAUUCUUCUAAAAGCUAUAAAAAGAUCUGAUAUUGUUUCGAAUAUAUUCGCCCAAUAAAAUUUUAGAAUCAUUAGGCUCUACUUCACUAGAAAGUGAUUGUACACAUAAACAUGUAGACUUUCACCCAGAUGUAGUGACCUAUGGCUAUAAACUUUAUCUACAAAUACGAACUUACACACAACACACUACUACACUACUAUAUAUAUAUAUAUAUAUAUAUAUAUAUAUAUAUAUAUAUAUAUAUAUAUAUAUAAUAGAACACUAAACACUAUUUAUGUAAAUGCCCAUUUUUAAGUUUGUAAAAUAAUAAUUUGUUUUUAUAAAAAAUCUGGCUAUGCCUAUAGUACUCUUAACAAAAUUAUGACUAAAAAUAUUAUGAACGUCGAGUCUCUAGAUUCAUCAUCUUUGUGUGUCUGAUAAACCCAGAGAAUGAAGAUAUAGAAUCUAUAUAGGCCCCCUAUUAUAUAGAAUCUAGCUCUAGUUGACUCUAGACUAGAUCUAGGAUAAUUUCAAGUCUAGAUGUUCAGCUUCAUCUUACCUUGAUCAUGAUGCAGAUGAUUAAUUUUAAUCUGACUUCCUGACUUGUUAACUUAAACUUCGUCUUACUUAGCCCUUAGGCGCCUUAGCCUUAGCUUCUUCAUAUAAUCUAUAUGUGAAUCAUGAAUGGAAGUGCUUGGCUCACAGUGUCACAGAUCGUUCUUUAAACUAUUUGAAGAUCUACUUUAUCUUUACUAACGACUCUAAUCUAUAUCUAGUUUAUAUCUAUAUUUUAUAUGAUAAUAAUAGACCUGCCUAGACUCUUAUACUUAUAAUAAAGACAAAGUUAUAAGAUCUAGAAUCUGUAUCUAGAUCUAUUCCCUUUUGUGAUUUAUACACUGAUUAUACACUACAGAUUUAAUGUUUCUGAUGAGCAAUACUACUAUCUACAGCCAUGCCCAUUAACAUAGGCCCUACUCAUGUACUAGAUCUAGCUCUUUUGAUCACAACUCAUAUCUUGCCUAGAUAUAAACAACUGUACUAGAUUGGACUAGACAUUCUAAUCGGUUCUAUUUUCGUUUUUCAUUAUUCUCACAUAUUCUAGUAGGCAAUAGGUACCAAAUUGUGCUAUUUAUUCACUGUAGAUCUAAAUCUUAACUUUUCUCUUAACUACCAAAGAAGUACACAAAGGAUGUUGAAUGGUACCCAAAGGGCUCUAAUUGCUACCAUUAUCUUAUCUUCUUAUCUUAUAUAAUACAGACGUUACUUCAAAAAAGAAGAUGAUUACGUCCUACGCGUCAUGCAUUUAGUCAUGCAUAUUAACCAAUGACUUAAAUUCUGCCAAGUCACUGGUUUUCCUGGCUAGCUCAGGCAACCCAUUCCAUGCUCUAAUAGCACUAGGGAAGAAGGAACAUUUGUACAAAUUUGUCCUAGCAUAUGGGACGAGGAAUGUGCCUUUAUCUUUGUGUCUUUCAGAGUAUUUUAUUAAAUUUUGUUUUUGUAUUUGAAGAUUAUGGUUCAGUGUUUUAUGUAUGAUUGCUACUUUACUUUUGAGCCUUCUGUCCUGAAGGCUUUCUAAAUUUAGUGAUUUUACUAAAGGUGUUACUCUAGUCAAGUGUGAAUAUUCGUUUGUUAUGAAUCGCACUGCUCUAUUUUGUGUCUGUUCUAGUUUCUUAAUGUUUUCUUGAGUUGAGGGGUCCCAAACAGAGGAUGCAUAUUCUAUUAUUGGCCUAACCAAGGUUAAAUAACAUUUUAGUUUUAUGUUCUUAUUUGAUUUAUAGAAAUUUCUUUUAAUAAAUCCUAAUGCUUUGUUUGAUUUUUUUGUAGUUUCAUCAAUAUGUGGAUUCCAUGACAGUUUUUCAUUUAUUAUAACACCUAGGUAUUUUGCGUUUUUAGUCUGUGUUACUGGUUUGCCAUGAAUAAGAUAAGUGGAAUUAAUUUGUUUUAGUUUUUUUGUUACUCUUAACAACUGACAUUUUUCUGGGUGGAAAGACAUGCUCCAAUUUGAUUCCCAUUUCUGUAAUUCAUCUAAUUCUCUUUGUAAAAUAUCUGUGUCUUGUGUUGUUUUUAUUGUUCUAUAUAUUAUGCAAUCGUCUGCAAAUAAUCUGACUUUUGUUCCUGAAGUAAUGCAAUUUGGUAAAUCAUUUAUGUAAAUUAAAAAUAGUAGUGGACCCAAGACUGUUCCUUGAGGUACACCUGAGUUUACUGUUAUCGGUGUUGAUUUAGAGCCAUUUAUUAUUACAGUUUGUUCUCUCCCUAUCAGAAAGUCUUUAAUCCACUGAUGCAGUGGACCAUUAAUGCCGAAAUAUUUUAAUUUUUUAAGCAAACUAUGAUGGUGAACUUUGUCAAAAGCCUUAGAAAAAUCUAGUAAGAUAGCAUUCAAUGUGUGGAAUCAAGUAUUUACCCAGAUACUGCCACAAUAUGCUCUUAUUGUUUUCAAAGGAGUUUUCACACAGUGCCAGAAGCUGUAUAAAUACAUUUAACAAUGUAUAUUUCAAGAAGAAAUGAUGCUUUUUUAUUUCUAAGAGUUUAUCAAUAGGAUGAAUGCCACAAAACUCACUUGUUAUGCCAGAAACUCUUCCUACGAAACUUCCAUACUAGAAUUUGUCCAGUGCCUGUGUUGAAGUAGAAUGUGCUCCAUAAUACCUACUAGGAGCUUGCUGAUAGCUGGAAGUUCAUGAAUACUAUGUUGUCCUUGAUUUGAUGAUUCUGAAAACUACCAUUUCUGAAGACUUGAGCAUUAUUUCUAUAAGAAAGUGAAGAUAAUAUUGUUCUUACUAAUAUUAUUGACUUAUUAAAAUAGAAAGCACAUCAUUACCAAUAUUCACUUGUCAAUAAAUGUUAGCAUUAUUCAAUUUUUAGUUACAUGUUCAAACUAUUAAAUUUUAUUAUUUAAAUUAUAGCAACUUUCUCUUUCAGUCCAGCUUAAGAUACAUUCCUGUAAAAAGUCUAUAAUAAUAAGUUAAUGUCAAUGUAGUAUUGUUCAGACACAAGUUUAAUCAUCUAUACUUCACAAAAAAAAAGUGUUUGAAUGGUUUUCAUUUGUUUGUACAUCAAAUAUGUAUUAAUAUAAUUAUCAUUUUUAGAUGAAACAUUAAAUACUGAAGAUGACCAUUUCAAUUUCUGAUGUAGGCCUAUUCUCAUUUCAUGAAAUAAACAGAAUAUUAUCUGAAA